Molecule: ribosomal RNA, 434 nt
Filed under: uncultured Lachnospiraceae bacterium
Lineage: Bacteria; Bacillati; Bacillota; Clostridia; Lachnospirales; Lachnospiraceae
Description: bacterial SSU rRNA
Rfam family: Bacterial small subunit ribosomal RNA
Source: RNAcentral
ACGGAAGGCAGCAGUGGGGAAUAUUGGACAAUGGGGGAAACCCUGAUCCAGCGACGCCGCGUGAGCGAAGAAGUAUUUCGGUAUGUAAAGCUCUAUCAGCAGGGAAGAAAAUGACGGUACCUGACUAAGAAGCCCCGGCUAACUACGUGCCAGCAGCCGCGGUAAUACGUAGGGGGCAAGCGUUAUCCGGAUUUACUGGGUGUAAAGGGAGCGCAGGCGGUAUGCUAAGUCUGAUGUGAAAACCCGGGGCUCAACCCCGGGAUUGCAUUGGAAACUGGUAAACUUGAGUGUCGGAGAGGUAAGCGGAAUUCCUAGUGUAGCGGUGAAAUGCGUAGAUAUUAGGAGGAACACCAGUGGCGAAGGCGGCUUACUGGACGAUAACUGACGCUGAGGCUCGAAAGCGUGGGGAGCAAACAGGAUUAGAUACCCUGGUA